Molecule: ribosomal RNA, 492 nt
Filed under: uncultured bacterium
Lineage: Bacteria
Description: partial 16S ribosomal RNA
Rfam family: Bacterial small subunit ribosomal RNA
Source: RNAcentral
AGUGAACGCUGGCGGUAGGCCUAACACAUGCAAGUCUAACGGCAGCACAGUAAGAGCUUGCUCUUACGGGUGGCGAGUGGCGGACGGGUGAGGAAUACAUCGGAAUCUACUUUUUCGUGGGGGAUAACGUAGGGAAACUUACGCUAAUACCGCAUACGACCUACGGGUGAAAGCAGGGGAUCUUCGGACCUUGCGCGAUUGAAUGAGCCGAUGUCGGAUUAGCUAGUUGGCGGGGUAAAGGCCCACCAAGGCGACGAUCCGUAGCUGGUCUGAGAGGAUGAUCAGCCACACUGGAACUGAGACACGGUCCAGACUCCUACGGGAGGCAGCAGUGGGGAAUAUUGGACAAUGGGCGCAAGCCUGAUCCAGCCAUACCGCGUGGGUGAAGAAGGCCUUCGGGUUGUAAAGCCCUUUUGUUGGGAAAGAAAAGCAGCAGGUUAAUACCCCGCUGUUCCGACGGUACCCAAAGAAUAAGCACCGGCUAACUUCGUG